This is a long non-coding RNA of Brassica rapa (field mustard), 2692 nucleotides long. RefSeq lists it as uncharacterized. NCBI's taxonomy places the organism in Eukaryota, Viridiplantae, Streptophyta, Magnoliopsida, Brassicales, Brassicaceae. The record is from RefSeq and is a predicted model, not a curated record.
CGCAACAACAAUCUUCCACCAGCAUGCUUUGUACCAGUCAAAUUCUUAGAAGAGGUUGGGUACGCUUAUGAAUCUGUCAGGAAGCCACAUAAGAAAAAAAAAAGUUAUUGGAGGGCUGUGUAGGCGAACUUGUGAAAGGUUUAAUACAUCCAAAGAAGGUAUGGCUGGAAGAUGUUGAUGUUAUAUAUGGUGUCAUUGAAGAUAAGUUGAGCUGUCACUAUAUUGGGGUGGAGAUACAAUUGAUGGACAACACAAUCACACUCUUCCAUUGUGGUCUUCCAAAAGCAAAUAUCAAACGUGCUCUUAAUCAAAUCCAAGAACUGGCAGUGUUGAUUAGUGCCAUAAAGAUGGAACUUCUUGGUGAAGAGGUUAAUUUCGAAGAUAUCAGUCCAUUUGAAGUUAAGUUUGCAGAAGGGCUUCCAAAGACAAAAUUUCCAUACAACUGUGGUAUUUUUGUUGUGAAGAUGCUGGAAUGCAGGUCACUGGGAUUGAAGAGCAUGGCUAAUAUAAAUGAUGAAACUGCGAUGGACUUACGAAGCAAGCUAUGUUGUGAGAUCUUCGACCAGUUUAUGGAUAAAGAUUUCCAGGAAGGUCAAAGGAAGUGAAAAUGUCAUAUUUGUUCUGUUUUCUACACUGUUUUUCUACUUUGAUAUUAAUUAUCCCUAACGUUUAAGUUUAAGUUUGUAAUGAAUUAUCCCUAACGUUUUUUUCAUUUAGAUUGUUAUUGAAAAAUUUUUAGGAUGUAUUGAUGAAUUGUCAAAUGCUUAUGGUACUUUUAGGAUGGGUUUCCAGAAAAAGAGUGAGAAAGCAAAAUGCACCAAAGCCUAGCAUAUUCCUUUAAAGUUUACAAAAAAAAUGAAAAAGAAAGUGAUCCAAUGUUGAUUGAACUCGUGAACUCUCGAAAGAUGAAUCAAAGUGUGCAGCCGCUGUGCCAAGGGUGUUAUACUUGCCAAAAGAUAUAAUAAAACGAUAAUAACUUGUAACUUUUGAAUAUUUAAUUAAAAACAGAAAAAAGUGAAAAUAUACACAACGGGGAUCGAACACGGCUUAUUGUGUGAUAAGGGUACACUAAGAGUAGAAGGGCUUGCCAAUAAGCUAUGGUGGAUAUUCGAUAUCAGAGUAAAUGUGAACUUCUUUAUUCACAGACGAUAGAUUUAUAUGAUCUGGAUAUCAUUUUAGGUAUUCAGGAUAGCUUUCCAAAAACAAAUUCCUUUAAAGUUUACAAAAAAAAAUUGAAAAAGAAUGUGAUCUGAUGUUGAUUGAACUCGUGAACUCUCGAUAGAUUAAUCCAAGUGUGCAGCCGUUGAACCAAGGGUCUUAUACUUGCCAAAAGCUACAAUAAAACGAAAAUAACGUUUGAAUAUUUAAUUAAAAACAAAAAAAAAAUGUGAGUAUACACAACGGGGAUCGAACACGACUUAUUGUGUGAUAAGGGUACACUAAGAGUAGAAGGGCUUGCCACUAGGCUACGUUGGAUAUUCGAUAACAGAGUAAAUGUGAACUCAUUUAUUCACAGACGAUAGAUUUAUAUAAUCUGGAUAUCAUUUUAUGUAUUCAGGAUGGCUUUCCAAAAACAAAUAAGCAAAUCAGAUAACCAAGUUAUAAGAACACUAGGCCAAACCAUUACAAAAUAGUGAAAAACAUUGAACAAGUUUUUUAUUUAGGUUGUUAAUUGAAGAAACAACACAAGAGAAACAAAAGUACUUAUUCAUUUAAAAUAAAAACUGAAAAUCAAACAUAAUGUGGUCCUUAAAAACAUAAAAAGAGAAGACGAUAACAUGAAAUUACUCAUGACGGAGCCAACUUUCGCCAAGUUUAUCCCAAUCAGGGACUUUGACCUUCACAUCAGCAAGCAUUCCUUCCGCUUCCGAGUGCUCUUCUUUGAGUUUCUCCAACUCAGCAGUUAAAUCAAAUUUUCCAUCAGCUUUGAUAAUAUCUUCAAGCAACUCGAUUUGGACAGCAAUUGAAUUUGCUUUGCUGGAUGCAAGAUUCCAAUCAUUCUCAGAUAGCCUGUAUUCGUUGGACAAACGAAGAAGAGCCCUGUAAUGUUCCACAGUUUCCUUCUUCCCCUUCUUGAAACCUUCGGCGGCAUCACAUCCGUAAACCUCCUCUAUGGGACGCUUCAUCAUCUUCUUUGAACUUCCUUCCAUUGAAACUUUGUCCUGCAACAAAAUCGAAACUAAGAUGUUACGAUAAAAUAGAAAUAGAAAAAAGUUCAUGAAUUGAAUGGAAAAUGAGAAAAAUCGAAAACUAACUUGUAUUGCAAAAGGAUAUAUCAAGCGAAAUGAAGUGAGUGAAUAAAAGGUCUGAUAUCGUCCCUUAUAUUUAUAGAACAAAAAGGAACUCUUCGAUUAUUGAAGUCAGUUAAAAUAAACUCUUGAUUAUUGUGGAACUCUUCGAUUAUUGAAGUCAGUUACUGAAAUAACCAAUCAUAUAACACCCAAUCUUGACGAAAAGAAACUCUUCGGUUACUGAGUUACAUGAUGUCGUUUGGAAGAGACUCUUCGAUUCCUGAGAUAUAUGUUUGAACAAAAAAAAAAAAAUCACCCAUUACUCGUAGGAGAGUCGAACCCGGGUCGAACAAAUGUUUCGGUAUCAUAGGUUUCGUGGUUUAGCCGCUAGGCUGAGGAGAAUCAUCUGUUAGUUGCUUCCACAUAAUUGAAUUUACCCAUACAAUUUAUAGUAUAAUACA